ACUUAUAUAGUAUAAAUAUUACAUUUAACUUCCAAUUAAAAAAUCUAUAAAAUAGUUUAAGUA
RNAcentral lists this transfer RNA (63 nucleotides) under Hypothenemus sp. BMNH 1039866. RNAcentral's name for it is "tRNA-Gly". The record is from RNAcentral. Lineage: Eukaryota; Metazoa; Arthropoda; Insecta; Coleoptera; Curculionidae.